This 434-nucleotide ribosomal RNA is filed under the name uncultured Lachnospiraceae bacterium. RNAcentral describes it as "partial 16S ribosomal RNA". It matches the Rfam family "Bacterial small subunit ribosomal RNA", at positions 341 to 792 of the family's 1533-position model. Lineage: Bacteria; Bacillati; Bacillota; Clostridia; Lachnospirales; Lachnospiraceae. The record is from RNAcentral.
ACGGAAGGCAGCAGUGGGGAAUAUUGCACAAUGGGGGAAACCCUGAUGCAGCGACGCCGCGUGAGUGAAGAAGUAUUUCGGUAUGUAAAGCUCUAUCAGCAGGAAAGAAAAUGACGGUACCUGACUAAGAAGCCCCGGCUAACUACGUGCCAGCAGCCGCGGUAAUACGUAGGGGGCAAGCGUUAUCCGGAUUUACUGGGUGUAAAGGGAGCGUAGACGGCUUUGCAAGUCUGAAGUGAAAGCCCGGGGCUCAACCCCGGAACUGCUUUGGAAACUGUAGAGCUAGAGUGCAGGAGAGGUAAGUGGAAUUCCUAGUGUAGCGGUGAAAUGCGUAGAUAUUAGGAGGAACACCAGUGGCGAAGGCGGCUCACUGGACUGUAACUGACGUUGAGGCUCGAAGGCGUGGGGAGCAAACAGGAUUAGAUACCCUGGUA